ACUCCUACGGGAGGCAGCAGUGGGGAAUAUUGCACAAUGGGCGCAAGCCUGAUGCAGCCAUGCCGCGUGUAUGAAGAAGGCCUUCGGGUUGUAAAGUACUUUCAGCAGUGAGGAAGGUGGGAGUCGUUAAUAGCGGCCUCAUUUUGACGUUAGCUGCAGAAGAAGCACCGGCUAACUCCGUGCCAGCAGCCGCGGUAAUACGGAGGGUGCGAGCGUUAAUCGGAAUUACUGGGCGUAAAGCGCAUGCAGGUGGUUUGUUAAGUCAGAUGUGAAAGCCCGGGGCUCAACCUCGGAAUUGCAUUUGAAACUGGCAGACUAGAGUACUGUAGAGGGGGGUAGAAUUUCAGGUGUAGCGGUGAAAUGCGUAGAGAUCUGAAGGAAUACCGGUGGCGAAGGCGGCCCCCUGGACAGAUACUGACACUCAGAUGCGAAAGCGUGGGGAGCAAACAGGAUUAGAUACCCUGGUAGCUACGAGU
RNAcentral lists this ribosomal RNA (476 nucleotides) under uncultured bacterium. RNAcentral's name for it is "bacterial SSU rRNA". It matches the Rfam family "Bacterial small subunit ribosomal RNA", at positions 335 to 802 of the family's 1533-position model. The record is from RNAcentral.